RNAcentral lists this transfer RNA (107 nucleotides) under Devosia sp. Root413D1. It matches the Rfam family "tRNA". From Rfam's summary of the family: Transfer RNA (tRNA) molecules are approximately 80 nucleotides in length. Their secondary structure includes four short double-helical elements and three loops (D, anti-codon, and T loops). Further hydrogen bonds mediate the characteristic L-shaped molecular structure. tRNAs have two regions of fundamental functional importance: the anti-codon, which is responsible for specific mRNA codon recognition, and the 3' end, to which the tRNAs corresponding amino acid is attached (by aminoacyl-tRNA synthetases). tRNAs cope with the degeneracy of the genetic code in two manners: having more than one tRNA (with a specific anti-codon) for a particular amino acid; and 'wobble' base-pairing, i.e. permitting non-standard base-pairing at the 3rd anti-codon position. The record is from Rfam by way of RNAcentral. Lineage: Bacteria; Pseudomonadati; Pseudomonadota; Alphaproteobacteria; Hyphomicrobiales; Devosiaceae.
CGCAACGUAGCUCAGCCGGAAGAGCACCCCGUUUUCGACACUUUGGGAUUCUGUAGCAAGACCCAUUAUGGGCGGGGAGGUCGCAGGUUCAAGUCCUGCCGUUGCGC